This 1530-nucleotide small RNA is filed under the name Pyricularia oryzae. Its description in RNAcentral is "Magnaporthe oryzae sRNA M_BR32_EuGene_00136921". Lineage: Eukaryota; Fungi; Ascomycota; Sordariomycetes; Magnaporthales; Pyriculariaceae. The record is from RNAcentral.
UUUAUAUUCCAAAAAUAAUUUUCCUUAGUUUAUUACAAAUUACAAAAAUUACUUUGCCUAAUUUGUUAUAAUUUUUUAAAGAUUAUUGAAAUUAUUUUUUUGGCAAUUACGUGGUAUUACGUGAUUUUUUUUUAAAUAAUUGGUAUUUUGUCGGUCGGUAAUUGUUUUGGGCAAAUAUUGUUAAAAAAAAUAUAACCCCGCCUGGUUUUCCUGGUGCCGGUCCAAUUAUUUGGUUAUAAUAUUAAAUUUCCUUUUUUUUGGCCAAAUCCCUUUGGUUUUUAAUAAUUUAUAUUUUUUUAAUUUUUAUUUUUAAUUUUGUUUUUUUUUGGCUAAUUUUUUUGCGUUAUAUUUAAUUAUAUAACCAAAUCGAAAUUCGGUCGUUCGUCGACAAAACGCCGCUACGUUUUUUUUUUCCCUAUUGUCGACCGAUAUUAUCGAAAUGUUUUUUUGCAAUCCCUAUUAUACCAAAAACGUAAUAUUUUGUCAAAUAUUUCCGCAAAAUUAUAUUUAUUGCGUAAAAUACGUUCGUUUUAACCGUUUUGGGUACGAUAUAUUAAAUUUAUCCGUUAUUUAAAUCCAUUAUAUUAAUCGUUAAUAUUCGAAAUUAAAUACGAAAAUUAAAACGUUUGAAAAACAAAUUUACGCGUAAUAAAUAAAAUUAUUUCGUUUGCGGAAAUAAAAAGAUUAUAAUUUAAAAAAAAUAAUGCGAAUUAUAUUUCGCGGUAUUAAUAAUUUGGAAGAAUUAGAUUAUAUAAAACGAAAAAAAAUAAAAUAGGAAAAACGGCGGCGAUUAAUUGAAAAUUUUUUUAAAAUAUUUUUUUAAUUGUUUUUUCCGGAUUUUAAUUUUGUUUGGGAUUUAAUUUUCCCGAUAAAUGUUUUUAAUUCUUUCCUGUUGGAUAAAAUAAAUAUUUUUGCGCAAUAUUUAAUUGGUAAAUUAUUUAUUUUCGUAUUUUAAUUUGUAAUAUAUAUUAAUUAUUUUUUCGUUAAUUCGUUUAAUAAUAUGGUUUCGAAUUUUGGUCGGUUUUUAAUUUUUAAAAAUAAUAAAUGGUAUUUUUUUAGGUUUUUUUUUUUAAUUAAUUUAUUCGCAAAUCCAAUUUCCAAUAAUAUUGGCGGAAUAAUUUUUGGCAAUUUUGGAAAUGGUUAAAAAAUUUCCAAAUAUUUUUUUUAUAUCCGUAAUUUUUCCAUUUGACAAAAUAUUUUAUUUUACCGUAGUUGCGUUUAUAAUUAAAUAUUCGUUCGAUUUUAUUAAUUUGUUUUGCGUCGAUUUUAAUUGUUUUUUACGUAUUAAUACCGUAUAAUGUUAAUUUUAAUAAUAAUAUAUAAAAUAUAGGGUAAAUCUUUAUAAUAUUUGGUAAUAAUAAUUUAUAAUUGGUUUCGUUAAUAUUUUUAUUAAUCUUAAAAAAUCCAAAUUUUUUAAAGUUAAAUUUGCUAUUUGGUCGUUAUAUUUUAAUAUUGCGUUAAAUAAAAUAAACGUUAUUUUUUUUUUAAAAAAUGGUUUUUUUAUCCGAUAUCAAUUGGCGUAUUUUAUUA